GAUGAACUACCCUUCCCCACCAGCAGACUUGGCAGGAAGAGGGUAGCGCCGCGGCCAUUCCUUUGGGGUAAUCCAGCGUCGUCAGCAAACUUCGGUGGGGCAAUUUCACCAGCUGGCAGUUGUCCAUCAAGCCUUCCAUCCUCUGGCAGUCUGAUGGUGCUACUUCUCGUUCUCUUCAUGCUGCUGUGGCGAUAAAUGGAUACAAUGGGACCUGUCCACUGGGUAGCAGACUGGUCUCCACUCCACUGCUGCUGACACUUCCUCUGAUUCUGUGCCCCCUCCAUUCCGUGGCGAGGAGGGGCCACCUUCCCAGUACCAGAUUCAUGGACUAGCUGUUGCUGGUUAAUGAAUAAUGUGUUUUAAGAGGUCGAGAGACUCUUCCAAUUUAUUUUAUUUUAUUUUUUUUAAAUAAAAUUUUCCUGC
This is a long non-coding RNA of Eriocheir sinensis (Chinese mitten crab), 423 nucleotides long. RefSeq lists it as uncharacterized. The transcript has 3 exons. NCBI's taxonomy places the organism in Eukaryota, Metazoa, Arthropoda, Malacostraca, Decapoda, Varunidae. The record is from RefSeq and is a predicted model, not a curated record.